RNAcentral lists this ribosomal RNA (490 nucleotides) under uncultured bacterium. RNAcentral describes it as "partial 16S ribosomal RNA". It matches the Rfam family "Bacterial small subunit ribosomal RNA", at positions 30 to 507 of the family's 1533-position model. The record is from RNAcentral.
AUUGAACGCUGGCGGCAUGCCUUACACAUGCAAGUCGAACGGCAGCAUGAUCUAGCUUGCUAGAUUGAUGGCGAGUGGCGAACGGGUGAGUAAUACAUCGGAACGUGCCUUGUAGUGGGGGAUAACUAGUCGAAAGAUUAGCUAAUACCGCAUACGACCUGAGGGUGAAAGUGGGGGACCGCAAGGCCUCAUGCUAUAGGAGCGGCCGAUGUCUGAUUAGCUAGUUGGUGAGGUAAAGGCUCACCAAGGCGACGAUCAGUAGCUGGUCUGAGAGGACGAUCAGCCACACUGGGACUGAGACACGGCCCAGACUCCUACGGGAGGCAGCAGUGGGGAAUUUUGGACAAUGGGCGAAAGCCUGAUCCAGCAAUGCCGCGUGUGUGAAGAAGGCCUUCGGGUUGUAAAGCACUUUUGUCCGGAAAGAAAUGGCUCUGGUUAAUACCUGGGGUCGAUGACGGUACCGGAAGAAUAAGGACCGGCUAACUACGUG